This is a long non-coding RNA of Phasianus colchicus (ring-necked pheasant), 1692 nucleotides long. The record is from Ensembl. Lineage: Eukaryota; Metazoa; Chordata; Aves; Galliformes; Phasianidae.
GGGGGAUGUAGGGAUUCAUCUUUGUCACAUUUUCUCUCUAAUUUAGCUGUCUAGGGAGCCUCCCUUGUUUUGCAGAAGUGGAAACAUCCAGUUUAAUUUCAUCUUUUCUCAGACUGCAGUAGCUUGCUUCCUCAGAAGCCAGGGUCUCUCUCCAUUUAUUCUUAGUGUUUAUCCCUUUAAUUCUCCUACAGUUUCACAAGUGCUUCUGGUAUAUUUUGUAAUUUUAGCUUAUAAUCACAUUUUUCGAAGAGGCACCAUCUGGUUCCUGACAUGGCUUAAAAUAACAAUCUAACUAACACGAACCCUGCAGCAAUGCUUUGCGCCCUUCCCAACCCAGUGUGAGAGUGUCCCCACCUAUAUUUCUUCACAAAUGCUCCACUGUUAGGUUCCAUCCCUUCCGAUAGAUCUCACAGAAAGCGGGGCCUUUUACCUCUUUCAUCUCGAACCCAGUCGUUUCAGGCAGUCAAAAUGGAUGCGUUAAAAAAAAAAAAAAAAAACCUUGCAGCUAGGACAGCAGAGGAUCUGCUGUGAACUGCUCAGUCAGAGACUUGGAGCUGGAGCUCACGUCUGUAUUUCAGCUGCCCUCUGGUGCUUAGCACUGCAGCAGUACACGCCAUCAUCAUGGCCCCAGUGCUUGGAGGUCCCUGCGACGGAGCAGCGGAAACCAAGCACAGCAAAAAUUCCUUUGAAGACAGAAAAGUGGCCCAGUGCUGUGCAGCAGGGCUACGGUGCUGGAAUCCAGCCCGGCCCAGUGCCGGCGUUGGCAGCGGCCUUCCCAUUAUAUCAGGAAGGGCUGUAUCCCGUCGCCACCAUGCCCCAACCCCCCCGGCUCGCCUCAGCUGUCUGCGGGACGUGGAGCCAGGCAGAGGGUGCCCUGCAAGAAGCAGAGCUGUUGGUUUGAGGUGCGGAAAGCCGGCCAGUCUGGAUGCGACUGCUGCUGCGUGGCGGACAGGAACUGACAUACAGCUUCAGUGCUUCCCACCGCAAGGGCACUCCAGGAUCCAGACUCUGGAGGAGAAGCUGUGGCUGUAGGAUUGCUAAUUGCAGCCGGUGCCAACGCUGCUGCCCGUUUUCAGGUGAGUGUGGUGGAGGGCACUGUAGAGACGCACGGCUAUUCACAGAGCGUGCACUUCCAGCACCUGAACUGCUGGAUCCGCUCUGACCGAUGUACGGCAAUUACAUUUGGUGCUGCACUGCUAUAAUUUCACUGCACGUUAAUAGCCACCUAGUGCAGAGGUAAAGGCCCUUCCCUCGCCCGGUGCAGAAGGAAUGCCUGGAUUUAUUCAGCUGAGUAAAACGAGCUGUGAUUUUCGGAGCAGAUGGCAGAGGUUUUGUGUGUUGGAAAAGCGUUUGCCGGUGCAGUGCUGUUUCCCUGCACCCUGACGGGUGUGCGGGAGGCUCCUGGAAAAGUCCCAUCCUCGGGUCCUGGCAGGGGGAGGGGAAGAGAUGGGGAUCAUGUGCCCCAUUUUGAGUGGCUCAUCUGCUACCACCCAAACUCUGCUGCAGUCCCCCCCCCUCCCUUCAGCAGCUCGGCUGAGCACUGCAGGCGCUGUCAGAUUUCUCUGGCAAAAUUAGUGAUCAAAACACCCCCCCCCCCCCACACACACACGCACACCUUCACUAAGGCUGGUGUUUUUAAGGUUGGGGGGGUGAUGGGGCGCGGGUGGGAGCGCACGGCGAGGGUACGAGGAG